RNAcentral lists this ribosomal RNA (114 nucleotides) under Angiostrongylus costaricensis. The record is from RNAcentral. Lineage: Eukaryota; Metazoa; Nematoda; Chromadorea; Rhabditida; Metastrongylidae.
GCUUACGGCCAUACCAGAAAGCACGCCAUCCCGUCUGAUCUGGCAAGUUAAGCAACGUUAGGCCCGGUUAGUACUCGGGUCGGGACUGAUUGGGAAUCUCUGGUGUCGUAAGCC